Molecule: long non-coding RNA, 1714 nt
Organism: Lolium rigidum
Lineage: Eukaryota; Viridiplantae; Streptophyta; Magnoliopsida; Poales; Poaceae
Exons: 5
Source: RefSeq, a predicted model, not a curated record
CUCUGCCCACUUCCAAUCAUGCCCCCUUGCAACUUCUUUAUUUCUUGGGAUUGGACAAUGCACUCUAUGUCUUGAUGAAUUGGUCACUUGCCACGGCUUCAGUUAUAGCAUAAGGAUUUUCCUUGGGAAUAAUGGAGCUAAUUCAGUGACAAGAAAGCAACUAUGAAGUACAUCAGAUAGAUGUUUAGAAAACUAUUCUAAAUGGUUUGGUCAAAAUCAAGGAUCUGGAUCAUCUAGCUAUACUGAAAGGCUAUCUUUGUGAUAUAUAUAUUUUUUCCUGUUGCUUUCGUAAGUACAUUUGAUGCGUACUAAUCAUUUAUGGAAAAUUUUCCGUGCAAGAUUUGUCCUAAUCAUUUUUGCUGACUCCUACUUUCCUUGUAUUUUUACAGGAAUCAUAGAGGCUUCCUAAUCUUUUUUUGUAUGCAUCAGAGUGAUGAAUCGACUUGACAUCAAUCAUCUUUCGAGUUUUGGAAGGGAGCAAUUUUGGCACUAUAUCCUAACCUGAAGUGGUGCUUAUGAGAAUUUGACUUGAAAAACACACUACCGCAUACCAGAUCAGAUAAAGAUGUUACAAAAUCGAAUUUGGAGGACAACCGUCAGUGAGCUUAAGGACGUUGCCUUAUUCGCUCCUUAUGUAUGUGUAUAACUUGGUCCCUUUAUGUUACUUGUUGUCACAUGUUGAAGCCCGAGAUUCAUUUUUCGCUAUGUGUUUUGCCCUUAUAUUUUCAUGCAUGUUCCUGUCUGCUUUGAUUUGCCAAUUGACACGUGUUCUCAUGACCACCAAUACACCCAACACUGCAAAGAGGGUCUUUUCUCCGAAAGAUCAAAGGAACGCUGGGCUCAAAUGUGUGCUUCGGAGACAAAGAGCUGCUGAAUUCAAUGAUAAUGGCUAGAGCUCUGCUGCUGUUGGGAUCUUUUUUGGUGUCCUUAUAAAAUAUUAUAAUAGUGGGUUUAUUUUUUUAACAUUUGAUGCAUUGCCUUCUCAAUACAUAUAUCCAGUUCUGGUUUUAGUGAGCACCUGAAGCCUGAAGGUAUCAAGAAAAAAAUAUAUCCUUAUUACAUUGAACUCUAAUGUACCGUGUAGAUGAUGAGACACUUAGGGGUGGUUCUGCUUGCAGAUGGUACCUCAGUGAAGACUUGCCUAAUAUUGACUCUUGCUUUGAAAGGUGUGUUCUAGAGGAAGAAGAUGGAGUUCUAUAAUUCUAUAGAAGAAUUGGGCUUAAAUCUUACAGUUCAAACAGCUGAUGCCAUCCAGUUUUUUGCAAAGGAUGUUAAUAUUAUCACAAAACCUUCAGUAUUGAAGCUAGCAAGUUGACAUCAGCAAUCAAUCAUGUUAUCGCUCAACUACAUGAUGGUUCAAUAUGAGGUGAAGCUGGUCCCUAUAUAUAUACCUCUUAUGUUUCAAUUGCAGGUCGGGGUAGCAUGGGCCGUUGAGAGGAAGGUGAGAUGUGAAAGGGGAGAGGAGAUGACAAAGGUUGCAAAGAGAAGAAAUGCUAUCUAGGCACAACUCGGAGGAGAGAGGCAGGCAAAUCACUAGCGGUCUAUUAUUGUUCUGAUUUCCACCUUCUAGAAUGGUUUUUUUGCCAUAGAAAUGCUAAUGUCAAACUUGUUUUCUUAUAAUUUAUGAAUUAUCAACUAUGUGGAGCAUCAAGUUUUGACGUGUUCAGUGUGUGUGUGAUACCAAUUCUCUGAUUAUGGUUAGUUGUGCACAACU